Molecule: ribosomal RNA, 572 nt
Filed under: Klebsiella pneumoniae
Lineage: Bacteria; Pseudomonadati; Pseudomonadota; Gammaproteobacteria; Enterobacterales; Enterobacteriaceae
Description: bacterial SSU rRNA
Rfam family: Bacterial small subunit ribosomal RNA
Source: RNAcentral
AAAUUGAAGAGUUUGAUCAUGGCUCAGAUUGAACGCUGGCGGCAGGCCUAACACAUGCAAGUCGAGCGGUAGCACAGAGAGCUUGCUCUCGGGUGACGAGCGGCGGACGGGUGAGUAAUGUCUGGGAAACUGCCUGAUGGAGGGGGAUAACUACUGGAAACGGUAGCUAAUACCGCAUAACGUCGCAAGACCAAAGUGGGGGACCUUCGGGCCUCAUGCCAUCAGAUGUGCCCAGAUGGGAUUAGCUAGUAGGUGGGGUAAUGGCUCACCUAGGCGACGAUCCCUAGCUGGUCUGAGAGGAUGACCAGCCACACUGGAACUGAGACACGGUCCAGACUCCUACGGGAGGCAGCAGUGGGGAAUAUUGCACAAUGGGCGCAAGCCUGAUGCAGCCAUGCCGCGUGUGUGAAGAAGGCCUUCGGGUUGUAAAGCACUUUCAGCGGGGAGGAAGGCGUUAAGGUUAAUAACCUUGGCGAUUGACGUUACCCGCAGAAGAAGCACCGGCUAACUCCGUGCCAGCAGCCGCGGUAAUACGGAGGGUGCAAGCGUUAAUCGGAAUUACUGGGCGUAAA